AGCGCCGACUUUGAGGUCGCCUCACCGGGCCACCGCAGCGUCGUCGGCUUCUCGGCCAUCGCGGACGCCCACGCCGGACGCUGCAAGGUCCGCGAUUGUUUUUCUAGAUCUUCGAUGAUGCUGCUUCACCAAACAAUGAAAUGCUCAUGACACAUGAUGGAAGAGGAUACAUCUACUUCCUUCUUCUGAGCCAACCAGAACAAGGGAGACAAUGAGAGGUGUGUAAUACGACGGUGGCUUCGACGACCCUGGGGAGGCGCCGGAAGAUAGUACCCAUAUAUGUAGCAGUCGCCACUGCCACACGCGAGGAGAAGAAGCAAGAAGGCGCUCAGGUGUGGUGGUGGUGCUCAGGUGCGUGGAAGGAUACAAUUUGGGGCAGGCUCUGGGCGGCUGGCAUCGCCGGCAAGCGCAAGAAGGUCAUCAUGAGCGGCAAGCCUAAACGCCCGCCCUCCGCCUUCUUCGUCUUCAUGUCUGAAUUCAGGCAGGAGUAUCAAGUUCAGCACCCUGGCAACAAGAGCAUUGUGGUCGUUAGUCAUCUUGCACUCUGCUCUCCCCUUAUUUUUUUGGUGCAUUUGCAUAUGUCUUCUUUGUUCGUGUUGGUGGAUCAGGUGAGCAAGACAGCAGGGGAAAAGUGGCAUGCUAAGUCGGAUUAGGUAAGUAGAUCUCUUGAAUACUAAGAUCAACUUUGUGUUUUGGAUUUAGAUUUAUCUAUUGUGUGUCUCCUUUGUCGUUAUUUUUAGCUCAAAAUGGGUGUUUUUGCACAAUGUUGAGGUUUAUUUGGUUGGGUAGGGCACCUAACCAAAUUGAAGGAUAUAGUUUAGGAAAGGUUUACUGGGAGUUUUUUUUGAAAGCUGGUGUAUUUGUCUCAGUUCAUAAAAUUCCUAGUUACGUGCAGUUCACCUCUCCUAUUCGACGAUAUGUUGACUUGCUAGCUCAUUAUCAGAUAAAUAUGAUUAUGAGUGAGGAAAGGUUUUAUAGCAUACAAGAAAUUAAGUAUUUGUGCAUUUUUUUAUUUUGAUGUUCUAGCUUUAUGAUAGUGCCAUCGAAUUCGUCAUCUUAUCGAUAGACCUUUGAUCCAAAGAAUAUAUCAAUAGUCGACUUAUAUUCAAAUAUUAUGUGGAACUAAUUGUACGUAAAAGCUUUUCUUAGAGGUGACUCACCACCAUAUUCAGCUGACGAUCCAGAAGGAGGGUUCAUAGCAAUAUCUUGCGGUGCUGGCCGUUGGAAUACUUGAAGCGACAACCAAAGGGGAGAAAAUACAUAGCACUUAUUCUAAAGUUUGUCAAGGAUCAUAUGGGAGCUCUGCUUUUUGGUGGAGGAAGAACUUAUGAAAGUUGAGGAACAAUCAGUGGAGCUGGAGAUGGAUUAGAAGGAGAGAUGAUGUUGAAACAACAGUCAUUUCUUGAUCUCAAUCAUUCCAUCCACCUUGCCAUCCACCUGUUCGAAAGGGAAUCCAUGGUCUAACCCAGGGUCGCGGAUGAGCUCACCGAGCAGCAGGCCUGGCAGCUCAACUUCGACCUCGAUUCGGCCUACAAUGCCUUCUUGGCUGUGCUGCCCGCUGCUGGUCUGUAACCGGGCAAGGAUCUACCAGCUUGAUUUUUAUUUGGUUGGUUCGGUCUAUUAUGCUUUUGACACUGGAGCACUACUCUCCACUACUGUAGUACUAUAGAUAUCUGUAAUUUCGGUACUGCUAUUUGUUGUCAAUAAGAAAGUUUUGUUUUCCUUUGUAUACAGUAAAUAUGUUUAUUGCAUGG
Molecule: RNA transcript, 1754 nt
Organism: Zea mays
Lineage: Eukaryota; Viridiplantae; Streptophyta; Magnoliopsida; Poales; Poaceae
Gene name: protein-like pseudogene
Exons: 7
Source: RefSeq, a predicted model, not a curated record